GAUGAACGCUGGCGGUGUGCCUAAUACAUGCAAGUCGUACGCAUUCUCGUUUCUGAUUGACGGUGCUUGCACCUAAUUGACGAGACAUUGGGAUGAGUGGCGGACGGGUGAGUAACACGUGGGUAACCUGCCCAGAAGUGGGGGAUAACAUUUGGAAACAGAUGCUAAUACCGCAUAAAAGUCAAAACCACAUGGUUUUGAUUUAGAAGAUGGCCUUUGUGCUAUCACUUCUGGAUGGACCCGCGGCGUAUUAGCUAGUUGGUAAGGUAACGGCUUACCAAGGCAAUGAUACGUAGCCGAACUGAGAGGUUGAUCGGCUACAAUGGGACUGAGACGCGGCCCAUACUCCUACGGGAGGCAGCAGUAGGGAAUCUUCCACAAUGGGCGCAAGCCUGAUGGAGCAACACCGCGUGAGUGAAGAAGGGUUUCGGCUCGUAAAACUCUGUUGUUAAAGAAGAACGUAUCUAAGAGUAACUGCUUAGGUAGUGACGGUAUUUAACCAGAAAGCCACGGCUAACUACGUGCCAGCAGCCGCAGUAA
Molecule: ribosomal RNA, 540 nt
Filed under: uncultured bacterium
Lineage: Bacteria
Description: partial 16S ribosomal RNA
Rfam family: Bacterial small subunit ribosomal RNA
Source: RNAcentral